Long non-coding RNA from Peromyscus leucopus (white-footed mouse), 1315 nucleotides. RefSeq lists it as uncharacterized. The record is from RefSeq and is a predicted model, not a curated record. Lineage: Eukaryota; Metazoa; Chordata; Mammalia; Rodentia; Cricetidae. The transcript is spliced from 2 exons.
CUUGCAAAGGCGCUCCUGGCUCAAGGAAGCUCCGUUGGCCUGCUUCCCCAGCCUGGGAACAAGGACUCUUUGAGUAGAGCUGUGCCCCCCACUGGGAAGUGAGAGCCUAUCUCGGUUCCUCAUUUCGAGGCACACCCAAAUUCCCAAGGCAGUUACAAGCCUCAAGUUGCUCAACUGCAUCAGGGAAAGCCUGGGCCAUCACCGCUUAUCGCGGAGUGGCUGAACCCAAACUUUGGUGACCAGAGUCUGGCCUGUCUGGCCUCGGAGCUGUCAGGAACACACUGUCUGUGUCCCACAGCCCACACGGGGAGGAAGGAGCUGUGAUUCUGAUGGCCAAGGGACAGCUGCUCUCUAUUCGUCAUUGUCAACCUCUGAUGCCUUUGGGGACUAAGUCUGAAGGACAGUUUUGACUGUUGUCAUCAAACAAGCUGAAGGAAGCCAAGGACAGCCCCUCUGCUCCCCCGCCCCCCCCCUUUACUCCGGGACUUUUUUUUCCCCCCUCAGUCAGGAGAAGCCAUUUCAGUAAACAAGACCAAAUGGACCUCCCUCCCCCUCCCCCACACCACACCCUGUCCUUCGGGCUGGAAUGAAAUGAGCCAGCAAGAAACGUCUCAAGUCUACCUAGGCUUGUUUCAGCAUCCUUUGAGGGACACCUGCUUGGGACACCCGUGACCCAAGAUCCAGUGCCCAGUUCUUACCCGCGCCCACACACAUGCAUCCUGUGACGUAAAUGCCUCGGUGGCCUGCUGCCCUCAGAGCAUCGCCCCUCAGGAGCCUUCAGCAACUCCUACUCUGAUCUGGAAGUUGCUGUCUGUGCUUCUUCCCAGGAGCCCACUCUCGAUGGGUGCCCAGCAGCCCUCUUUGUUCUGACCGCUGGCCUGGCCCUGUUCCCAGCAUGCACUGCAGCUGCCGUGGCGGGUGCUACGUCCUUUUUGCCUUACAGGAUUCCCAAGUGAUACAGGCUGAGAGUGGGCACGCUAGGGCAGGUGCUGGAUGUCUCCAUGGGACCGGGAGGAUGCGGGCAGUCCUUGGCUGGGGAACCCUUCCUCCAUCUUCCAGGAGGACUGCAAUCUCCACCUUUCCUCCUUUGGCUUCUUGUCUCCAUUUAAUGAGGGCCUGGAUGACGACAAAGUGGGGUUUAGGGACUGGAGUGCAAAGUGAUCUCUCCAGCUCCAAGUCCCCUUUGCUGUAUAGAGUAAUAACUCCAGGUGCUGGGUCAGCUUCGCCAUUACAAAACCUUGUAUAGGGAAUUCCAGGCCAGCCUGGGCUUACAGUGAGAGCCUGCCUCAAUGGAAAUAAAACAACAAAAUUAACU